This 505-nucleotide ribosomal RNA is filed under the name uncultured bacterium. Its description in RNAcentral is "partial 16S ribosomal RNA". It matches the Rfam family "Bacterial small subunit ribosomal RNA", at positions 28 to 507 of the family's 1533-position model. The record is from RNAcentral.
GACGAACGCUGGCGGCGUGCCUAAUACAUGCAAGUAGAACGCACAGUUUAUACCGUAGCUUGCUCCACCAUAGACUGUGAGUUGCGAACGGGUGAGUAACGCGUAGGUAACCUGCCUGGUAGCGGGGGAUAACUAUUGGAAACGAUAGCUAAUACCGCAUAAUAUUGAUUAUUGCAUGAUAAUUGAUUGAAAGAUGCUAUUGCAUCACUACCAGAUGGACCUGCGUUGUAUUAGCUAGUAGGUGAGGUAACGGCUCACCUAGGCGACGAUACAUAGCCGACCUGAGAGGGUAAUCGGCCACACUGGGACUGAGACACGGCCCAGACUCCUACGGGAGGCAGCAGUAGGGAAUCUUCGGCAAUGGACGAAAGUCUGACCGAGCAACGCCGCGUGAGUGAAGAAGGUUUUCGGAUCGUAAAGCUCUGUUGUAAGAGAAGAACGGGUGUGAGAGUGGAAAGUUCACACUGUGACGGUAUCUUACCAGAAAGGGACGGCUAACUACGUG